Molecule: unclassified non-coding RNA, 345 nt
Filed under: Hevea brasiliensis (rubber tree)
Lineage: Eukaryota; Viridiplantae; Streptophyta; Magnoliopsida; Malpighiales; Euphorbiaceae
Source: RNAcentral
GAAAUCCUAUAAAUGAAUAGCAGCUGAAAGGAAGAGAUGUGAUGCUUCAAAUAAGAUAGCUUGAUGCACAUAUUUUUGCUUAUAAAAAAUUAAAAGAAGAAAAAGAAAGGAUAGCUUGAUGCAACAGUGAUUAAUUUGCUGCAAACUUCUUUAAAAUGCCUUUUGUAUACAAUCCAUUUUUGGUAUCCAUUUCUGGUACUUUACAGAAUAUUUCAAACUUUCUUCUCUUUCUUCAUUUCAAGUCCAUAACCCGUUCUCCGUCCUACCCCCAAUCCCCACUUUACUCCCAAACCAACCAAAAAGGAAAAUUAUGAUGCCAUAAGAAUUGGGUGAUGGCGUCCCAAA